CCCUAGCCCCGAUUGCAGCGGCAUCCUUUUGUGUAGCGCAGCGGAACAAAAGAUAAAGCGGAAAGCGGGAAAUUGC
RNAcentral lists this small RNA (76 nucleotides) under Chryseobacterium polytrichastri. RNAcentral's name for it is "Flavo-1 RNA". It matches the Rfam family "Flavo-1 RNA". The record is from RNAcentral. Lineage: Bacteria; Pseudomonadati; Bacteroidota; Flavobacteriia; Flavobacteriales; Weeksellaceae.